RNAcentral lists this ribosomal RNA (252 nucleotides) under uncultured bacterium. Its description in RNAcentral is "partial 16S ribosomal RNA". It matches the Rfam family "Bacterial small subunit ribosomal RNA", at positions 524 to 775 of the family's 1533-position model. The record is from RNAcentral.
UACAGAGGGUGCGAGCGUUGUCCGGAAUCACUGGGCGUAAAGGGCGCGUAGGUGGCGCGACAAGUCAGUGGUGAAAGUUCGACGCUCAACGUCGAAUCGGCCACUGAUACUGUUGGGCUUGAGCACUGUAGAGGCUAAUGGAAUUCCGGGUGUAGCGGUGGAAUGCGUAGAGAUCCGGAAGAACACCGGUGGCGAAGGCGGUUAGCUGGGCAGUUGCUGACACUGAGGCGCGACAGCGUGGGGAGCAACAGG